RNAcentral lists this non-coding RNA (144 nucleotides) under Halothece sp. PCC 7418. The record is from RNAcentral. Lineage: Bacteria; Bacillati; Cyanobacteriota; Cyanophyceae; Chroococcales; Halothecacae.
AUGAUUAGCAGGGUCAUCGAUUCUAGCGGGGAGCAGUCGCUAGAGGAAACGGGGAAAGCGCAGUGAAAGUCUGCCACUGUCCCGCAACUGUGAAGAAGGUUAACGCCUCUGAGUCAGAAUGCCCGUCGAUGCAACAUUCAAGUU